UCAUUUGAGCGUGUACAGUUUUGUUUAUAAUUAGUGAAGAGAUGAAAAUAAUGAAACUGUAUGGUGCAGAAAGUGUAUUUUUCAUUACAGUUUCUGCUGCUGGGCAAGCGGUAGAUCACUAUGGCUUCUGUACCGUGAAAUGAAGCUUAUGAUAAAUAAAAUACUGCUGCUUGCUGGUCACUGAUUCAAGAUCGUUCAGUGGCUACCAUUGGCCAAUCUCACCAACGGGAUAUAAUAAGAACUAAUGCAGGUUUUUAUCUAUAUGUAUUGUCUAUCUAUUCGGAACAAAGUUAGUACGCUUUUUAAACCGAUGUUGGAUUUUUCUCCAGAUACAGGCAACCCACUUAAUUUUGGAAGUAGUGCGCUGGAUUCGUCAAAAGAUAUGCUAAACAACCGAAGGAAAAUAAAAUAAUUUGUAAAACAAUAAAUUGUAUUGUAUUUUUAUUGUAAUAUUGGAGUAGAAUGUAUUCUAAAUCCUGUUGUAUUUCUAUUGUAAAACAAUAGAAACAGUAAUUGAAAACAUUUAAAACACAAUGUUUUCUAUUGUUUUGUCGCUCGAAAUCAUCCCAUUGAAGAACCGUAAAAUCAAUUGUUUUGCUCCGAAUUUUGUAUGGAAAAUUUUCGAUUUUUUUAUUGUAAAGAUACAUAACAACCCCCCUUUUUAAUUGUAAAAGUCCCAUUUACCAUUCA
Armigeres subalbatus is the source of this 690-nucleotide long non-coding RNA. RefSeq lists it as uncharacterized. NCBI's taxonomy places the organism in Eukaryota, Metazoa, Arthropoda, Insecta, Diptera, Culicidae. The transcript is spliced from 3 exons. The record is from RefSeq and is a predicted model, not a curated record.